GACGAACGCUGGCGGCGUGCUUAACACAUGCAAGUCGAACGGAAAGGCCCUGCUUUUGUGGGGUGCUCGAGUGGCGAACGGGUGCGUAACACGUGAGUAACCUUCCCUUGCCUUUGGGAUAACUUCAGGAAACUGGGGCUAAUACCGGAUAGGAGCUCCUGCUGCAAGGUGGGGGUUGGAAAGUUUCGGCGGUUGGGGAUGGACUCGCGGCUUAUCAGCUUGUUGGUGGGGUAGUGGCUUACCAAGGCUUUGACGGGUAGCCGGCCUGAGAGGGUGACCGGCCACAUUGGGACUGAGGUACGGCCCAGACUCCUACGGGAGGCAGCAGUGGGGAAUAUUGCACAAUGGGCGGAGGCCGUAUGCAGCAACGCCGCGUGCGGGAUGACGGCCUUCGGGUUGUAAACCGCUUUCGCCUGUGACGAAGCGUGAGUGACGGUAAUGGGUAAAGAAGCACCGGCUAACUACGUG
This 468-nucleotide ribosomal RNA is filed under the name uncultured bacterium. Its description in RNAcentral is "partial 16S ribosomal RNA". It matches the Rfam family "Bacterial small subunit ribosomal RNA", at positions 28 to 507 of the family's 1533-position model. The record is from RNAcentral.